GCUUGUACAGCUGGGGACUGACAACCCUUUGAUUUCCGACUCUGUUGCCUCCGGGGCGACCCUGCCUUCGGGCGGGGGCUCCGGGUGGACACUUCAAACUCUUGCGUAACUUUGCAGUCUGAGUAAACUUAAUUAAUAAAUUAAAACUUUUAACAACGGAUCUCUUGGUUCUGGCAUCGAUGAAGAACGCAGCGAAAUGCGAUAAGUAAUGUGAAUUGCAGAAUUCAGUGAAUCAUCGAAUCUUUGAACGCACAUUGCGCCCCCUGGUAUUCCGGGGGGCAUGCCUGUUCGAGCGUCAUUUCACCACUCAAGCCUCGCUUGGUAUUGGGCAACGCGGUCCGCCGCGUGCCUCAAAUCGUCCGGCUGGGUCUUCUGUCCCCUAAGCGUUGUGGAAACUAUUCGCUAAAGGGUGUUCGGGAGGCUACGCCGUAAAACAACCCCAUUUCUAAGGUUGACCUCGGAUCAGGUAGGGAUACCCGCUGAACUUAAGCAUAUCAAUAAGCGGAGGAAAAGAAACCAACAGGGAUUGCUCUAGUAACGGCGAGUGAAGCAGCAAUAGCUCAAAUUUGAAAUCUGGCGUCUUCGACGUCCGAGUUGUAAUUUGUAGAGGAUGCUUCUGAGUGGCCACCGACCUAAGUUCCUUGGAACAGGACGUCAUAGAGGGUGAGAAUCCCGUAUGCGGUCGGAAAGGCGCUCUAUACGUAGCUCCUUCGACGAGUCGAGUUGUUUGGGAAUGCAGCUCUAAAUGGGAGGUAAAUUUCUUCUAAAGCUAAAUAUUGGCCAGAGACCGAUAGCGCACAAGUAGAGUGAUCGAAAGAUGAAAAGCACUUUGGAAAGAGAGUUAAAAAGCACGUGAAAUUGUUAAAAGGGAAGGGAUUGCAACCAGACUUGCUCGCGGUGUUCCGCCGGUCUUCUGACCGGUCUACUCGCCGCGUUGCAGGCCAGCAUCGUCUGGUGCCGCUGGAUAAGACUUGAGGAAUGUAGCUCCCUCGGGAGUGUUAUAGCCUCUUGUGAUGCAGCGAGCGCC
RNAcentral lists this ribosomal RNA (1027 nucleotides) under fungal endophyte. Its description in RNAcentral is "eukaryotic LSU rRNA". The stretch from base 453 to 1027 matches the Rfam family "Eukaryotic large subunit ribosomal RNA", at positions 1 to 582 of the family's 3401-position model. Lineage: Eukaryota; Fungi. The record is from RNAcentral.